UCUCUCUCUCUCUGCUUCAACCCAACAUCUUCAUCUUCUUCUUCUUCUUUUCUCUCUACUGAGGACCUCUUGCUAUCCCUAGCCGGGGGUUACUAUUACUUCACAUUGCUAAUUCGGUGUCACUACCGCCGUAUUCUUGAUUUUCCCGGCUGGGUUCAAGAACUCACGCUGCUCCCGCAGAUCUCGGAGACUCGAACUUCACUGGUUAAUUGCCUAUUCAAGAAUGGACAUGUUUAGAAAAUGUUCAGAAUCUGGAUGCAAGGGAAUCAGUUCUCGAGAACAAUGGUUGGGACCCCUGCCACGCCAGCAUCUAAGAUACAGAGAACCCCUUCCUCAACUCCAGGCGGCUCAAAGUUUCAGCAGGAAAAGAUUUUAGGUACCAUUCGGAUAAGGCCUUUGAACCGGAGGGAGCAAGCGUUGUAUUAUCUUAUCGCUUGGGAUUGCCCGGAUGGUCGCACCAUUGUCUUCAAGAAUCCGAAUCAUGAGCGGCCAGCAACACCAUACACUUUUGGGUUUACGAAGAAGGGGCUAAGAAUGUCGCUCUGUCUGCUCUUAUGGGAAUUAAUGGUAACACCAAAUUUGGCUAGGAAUCUGAAAUUCUUGUAAUAAGUGUUUUCUUCGUGUAAUUUUCUGAAGGAAUUCUGAUCAUUGCAUAUUUAACUUCUUGCAGCAACAAUCUUUGCAUAUGGGCAAACAACUAGUGGUAAGGCAUUUACCAUGAGUGGAAUCACUGAAAGUGCUGUCAAGGACAUCUAUGAGCACAUAAAAAUACUCAAGCGAGAGAGUUCAUCCUGAAAAGAUCAGCCUUGGAGAUCUACAAUGACACUAUUGACCUUUUGAAUCGUGAAUCUGAUUCCCUUAGGCUUUUGGAUGAUCCUGAGAAAGGAACCAUUGUUGAAAAGCUAGUUGAAGAAAUUGUUAAGGAUAGCCAACAUUUAAGGCACUUGAUUGGAAUUUGUGAAGCUCAAAGGCAGGUAGGUGAAACUGAUUUGAAUGAUAAAAGCUCAAGAUCACAUCAGAUAAUAUGGCUGGGGGUAAUGCUCGAACAGCAAGUAUAUGUGACAUGAGUCCAGCUUUAAGUCAUGUGGAGCAAACAAUGAAUGCCCUUUCAUUUGCAUCUAGUGCAAAGGAGGUUACCAACAAUGCUCAAGUAAACAUGGUUGUUUCAGAUAAGAAUUUAGUUAAGCAUUUGCAGAAAGAAGUGGCCAGACUUGAAGCUGAGCUACGAAAUCCAGAGUCUUAUCCUUCGUGUUUAAAUACAUUACUAAUGGAAAAGGAUUUGAAAAUUGAGCAGAUGGAAAGGGAAAUGAAAGAGCUGAAGAGGCAGAGAGACAACGCACAAUCCCAGCCUGAACUAGAAAGGAAAGCAAACAAGGAGCUGAAGCUAACACAGCAACUGUUGUUUCCUUUAUUUUUAAACAAUUCCAAUGCUCAUCUCUAUCUACGACAUCUUCAGCAUUUAUAUCUCAUAUCUUGAUCCGGUGUUGGAGCUAGAGGCUAAUGAGGCUGCAACUGUUGAGGCAGAUGCUGAUCAGUCUCCUAUGCCCUGGCACUUGCUUUUCGAGGAUCAAAGAAAGCAAAUUGUGAUGCUAUGGCAUUUAUGCCAUGUUUCACUUAGAGAACACAAUUUUAUCUGUUAUUUAAAGGAGACCCUUCUGAUCAGAUAUAUAUGGAAGUUGAACUUAGACAGUUGUCGUGGUUGGAGCAGCAUUAGUCGGAGCUUGGCAAUGCGAUCCCGGCACUGUUGGGUGAUGAACCUGCGGGCUUGGUGUCAUCAAGGUAUCUCAAUUGUUAAGUUUUAAGAUCCAUAUUGCUUUCUUAUUGCUCUUUGAGAAUUGAUCCAGGCCAGCUACAGCCUAUAUGUGCCCAAUAAAGUCAUAUUAACAAUAGGGGCAAAGUACACUUUAGUAUUCUGUACUUUGGCCUUUUUAGUAUUGAGACAUAUACUUUGUUUUGUUUCAAUUAAAAACAGAAACUUUGACUUCAUUUGCACCAUAAGGACAAAUUGCUAACGGUGUUAAGUGACGCUGACAUGACACAUUGAUGUGGCACUCAUGUAUGACAUAGCACCCAUGCAUGAUAUAGUAAUAAUGUGACAUGCCACGUCAGUGCCAUAUCAUACAUGGGUGACACAUCAGUAUGCCAUAUCAGUAUGCCACGUCAUCAAAUUUUAUGCCAUAAUUCAUUUCGUUACCUAAAUGUAAAAGGGUGAAAUAUGUCUUGAAUUGUAAAAAAAAAAAAAAAAAGAUCAAGAUUUUUUAAAUAAAAGGAGGUAAAUUGACUUCCCAUUUGCAGAAAUGCAUCUGUCACUAAAAAAGAAGGUCCAAUAAUUAAAUCUACAAGGGGUCAAUUUAGAUAAAUACACACACAUACAUAAGAGUAAUUUAAAAUAUUUUAAAAAAAAGAGAGAGAGGUGUCAAUUGACCCCCCAAUUUGUGGUAGUACAUUCAACACUGGCAGCAACUAAUACAUGAGAUCUAGAACCAAAAGAUUGUUGAUUAAAGCUAUUACAUUAUAUCCUGUUCACUUCAGUACUCAUCCAAAUAUCCAAUAGUUGUUUUCAAGAGAAACUUGGAUUCACACAAGAAGAGAUAAAGCACAAAACACACGGCAGAAAGUUGAGCAUGUUCAAUGCAAUUAGACAACAACCAAAAGAGGCAUAUGUGUUUGACCAUGGAACCUGUAACAACUAACAACUGCAAGGUGCAAUCCAGACAAUUAAAGGAUGCAGAAGCUUAAAUGGCAAAGAUGUGCAAUCACAGGGGAAAGGAAAAGAAUAUAUAACCUGUGCCUCUCCAUUGGAACUCGAUGGUGACUGGGAAGACGUUGAAUCUGAGUUUCCACUCAUCUGUGGUGGACUUUUUUUAAGGAAGUCUGACUGUACCCAUAAAGGGCAAUUGACAGACCCUGUCACUGGAUUUACAGGGGCAACAGACAUAUCUAGGUUCCCUGUACAGUCUUGCGAACCAUCAUAAACAUUAUUCAAGUCAAUGUUAUUGUACUUGAUUCUCCCAACUACAUCUGCUGGUUCAUUUACUUUGGUUGGAAGGUUGCAUCUUAACGGGAACAAUGCUGUGGACUGCAAACAUGAUAUGGCUUGUGGAGUUUCACCCUGGAAAUCAUUGUUGAAUAUUCUUUUCUGCGCCAAAUCAGAAACAGGUACAGUCCCACAUUGGCCCAAAGGCCUCAUAAUGUCCUGAGAAUUAGUGCAAUCAUCUUUCUUAGAAGCUGAAGUAGAAGGCCUGGUAGAUUCAGAACCAUUUGUAAUCAUAUCUGGCACUUUUUCAAGAGCCCCAAAAGUAGUUCCAGCAUUUACCCGACCUUGAGAUUCUUGCAACAAUCCAGAUAUGCUCCUUCCACUAGUUGUACCAGCAAUAUUGGCCAGGUUCCUUAAUAGAUGAGAAAGAAGAUCCUGAUCCUUUGUUUGAUCAGAGCUAUUUGAAUGCAAAUUGGAAAGAAUUCUAAGUAGACUUAUCAAUAGGUAGCCACUACCGUUUUCAUCAUUCAAGGAACCUCCACUGACUACAUUUUCAGGAUGUGUCUUCCUCCUCCGCUUGUUAUGGCCAGCCAAACGCCGACGACAGCUUCUUUUCCCUUCAUCAAACUCUUGAAGAACAUGAAACCUGCUACAUUGCUGGCAAAACCUCUGCAUAACAUUUCCCACCAGUGCUUUAUUGGCCUUGGAAUGCAUAUCGCAAACCUUAUGCCGUCGGUGAUAAUCCUUGGCAUUGGUGAGGUCAGCCCUACAAUCCUCCACCUGACAGACCGCACGAUUUGAAGCAGUCCCAGUAAAUUUUGUCUUCUUUCCACUUUUGGCAUCUUCAUCCAGGAUUGGAUAGGCUUGACCACCAAGCUUCAAAUUAAGGGACCCAGCAGCCUCGUCAGUAAAAUCUUCAUCUUCAACGAGAACGACCCUCCUUCUCUUCUCCAAUUCUCUCUUUUCUUUCUCUAAUCCCAAGUCAUUAUUAUCAGAACAAGAAGCUGAACCGUUGAAUAACCCUCCAUUAGCUGGAAUUUCAGGUCCAACAGGGAACAACUGCCUACUCCUACAAUCUGAUGGUACGGAAUUCAAUGGAGUAGCUGAAAAGAGAUCGCCGUCCCAUUUCCAGUCAUUUAAGUCCCAUUCCAAACUCUUUUUCCCAACAGCCUUCAAAUCCGACACCACUGGACCAUAGAAAUUAUGAGACUUUCCUCUUAUCUUAGCCUCCAUUUUUACCAAAAGCACAGAAACUUGAGAGGGGAAAAAAAACUCAACUAAAUAAAGAUACAAAAUUUAACAAACAGAAUUCCAAUGCGAAUUUUGUCGUAGAGAUCACGAAGUUGAACAUAAAUGGCCACUGAAAUUAAACCCCAAAAAGACACUCCUAGUCCUAGGCAUCCUCUGUAUGCCCCCAGAAAUGAAAAGAUAGUAAAGCAAGACAUCCAUGUAUCCAAACAAGAGUUGGCCUGAAUUACCCAUUUAUCACGUCAAAAUAAGAGAAACACAUCUUCCGAUUCCAUCAGUCGAUAACAAAACAUCAUGAAACUUGAAACCAAGACAACGACUUUUAACGAAUGAGCGAACAAACGAAAGAAAGGAGCAGAUGGGACGUUGGGCAGAGGAGGAUUGGUGAGAGAUUGCGUAUGUGAAUUGUGAGAGAGGGAGGGAGAACCAUAUAGGGAGAGGAAAUUAGGAAAGAGAGAGUAAAUUAGGGUUUUCAGUACACUUAUUUUGC
This 4715-nucleotide unclassified non-coding RNA is filed under the name Hevea brasiliensis (rubber tree). The record is from RNAcentral. Lineage: Eukaryota; Viridiplantae; Streptophyta; Magnoliopsida; Malpighiales; Euphorbiaceae.